RNAcentral lists this ribosomal RNA (443 nucleotides) under uncultured bacterium. RNAcentral describes it as "partial 16S ribosomal RNA". It matches the Rfam family "Bacterial small subunit ribosomal RNA", at positions 338 to 795 of the family's 1533-position model. The record is from RNAcentral.
CCUACGGGAGGCAGCAGUGGGGAAUAUUGGGCAAUGGGCGCAAGCCUGACCCAGCAACGCCGCGUGAAGGAAGAAGGCUUUCGGGUUGUAAACUUCUUUUCUCAGGGACGAAGCAAGUGACGGUACCUGAGGAAUAAGCCACGGCUAACUACGUGCCAGCAGCCGCGGUAAUACGUAGGUGGCAAGCGUUAUCCGGAUUUACUGGGUGUAAAGGGCGUGUAGGCGGGAAAGCAAGUCAGAUGUGAAAACCAUGGGCUCAACCUGUGGCCUGCAUUUGAAACUGUUUUUCUUGAGUACUGGGGAGGCAGACGGAAUUCCUAGUGUAGCGGUGAAAUGCGUAGAUACUAGGAGGAACACCAGUGGCGAAGGCGGUCUGCUGGACAGCAACUGACGCUGAGGCGCGAAAGCGUGGGGAGCAAACAGGAUUAGAUACCCGGGUAGUC